This 253-nucleotide ribosomal RNA is filed under the name uncultured bacterium. RNAcentral describes it as "partial 16S ribosomal RNA". It matches the Rfam family "Bacterial small subunit ribosomal RNA", at positions 524 to 776 of the family's 1533-position model. The record is from RNAcentral.
UACGUAGGGUGCAAGCGUUGUCCGGAAUCAUUGGGCGUAAAGGGUGUGUAGGUGGCAGUGUUAGUCGAUUGUUAAAACCUGGGGCUUAACCCCAGAUGUGCGAUCGAAACGGCACAGCUAGAGGAUGCGAGGGAUGUAUAGAACUCAUGGAGUAGGGGUGAAAUCCGUUGAUAUCAUGGGGAAUACCAAAAGCGAAAGCAGUACAUUGGCGCACUCCUGACACUGAAACACGAAAGCGUGGGUAGCGAAUGGG